UUAAAACCCACUUGUUCUCUCUCUCUCUGAUUUCGCGGAAAAUUUCCCAGCAAACUCUCUCUCUUUUCAUGGCGGAAUCACCAAAGUACAUUGAGCCCUAUGAUUGCAGAGAAGCUGUAGCGAUUUCGCCAAAACUCUCUCUCUCUUUCGUUAUGUUGAACCCGGGAUUACAGAGAAUCCCGCCCGUGUUUAAACCCUCCGACGAGCCCUCCGGCAGCCAUGUACGGCGGAGGUGCGUUUCUUCUUCAAACCACGAAUUCUCCUUCAAGCGAGUCCAAUCGGUCAGAAAAUCAGCAGGUCCAUUCGAUGCACUAAUCUGCGUCGGCCAAUUCUUCCCCGAUUCACCGGAGCUUCUAGACGAGUUUCUGGAUUACGUCGAAGGCCGAGCUAGCUCAGGUCCUGAUUCCUACUUACUUCACCGGAGACUACGGCGUCUCCGCCCCCAAAAUCCUAUCCGCGACCUCGAAGAAAACUGAGAAUCAAGGGUUUAAGAUGGACGGGCUCGUGGUGGCACACAACUUGUUUUGGUUAAGAGGACGUGGGAAGUUCACUCUUCAUGGUUUGUCUGUUGCUUACUUAUCUGGUACGGAGUCAUCCGAUGGUCAGUUUGGGAAGUAAAGUCAAGAUGAUGUUGAUGCUCUUCGUGCUCUUGCUGAUGAUUCUGGAGUUGUUGAUUUGUUUUUGACAUAUCUUUUUUUGAACUUUUGAUGGAUGGAUUGGUUUAUUUAUGUUCAUGUUUUUAGUAAUUGUUGGUCCUUAAUUAGUUUAUUUACUAAUGAAUGGCCUGUGGGAGUCACGAACAGAGCUGCGGAGUCUGAUAUUCCUGCAGAGGUUUCUGAUUCGUCUUGUUGUGAUUCCAAUGUUUCUUAAUUGGUGAAGGAAGUUAAACCUCGUUAUCACAUUGCAGGUUCGAUGGGGGGUGUUCUAUGCCCGUGAACCUUACUUGAACGUUGAUUCUAGUCAUGUAACUCGCUUUCUUUGCCUUGCUCAAGUUGGAAACAAAAACAAACAGGUGUGUUCUUUGAUAGUUACUCUUGUCCCAAGAGCUUGGUACUUAUUGGUCACACCUAACACUCUUGGUAGUUAGCUUUAAUUUACUUAAGUGCUCAAUGCGUGGUAGAGUCUAGUAUCUUGGUAGUUAGCUUUAAUUAGGUUGUGAUGAAAGUAAUCUAUUAUUACAAGUUUUCAAAUUUUUGAAUCUUAGAACCUUUAAUUGGUUCUAUCAUUGGAAGGUUUAAAACUAAACAAGUAUCUAAACUUUUUAAUUUGAUUAUUUUCAAUUAAAAAUUUGUUUUAGAACUCUAAGACCAUAUCUAUUGUUGGAGAUGGUCUUAGAGUGGGGUUCUUAGCGGAAGUUAAGAACUAUUUUUUAACUUCCGCUAAGAACCUCAUCAUAAGAACUCCGGGUUAAUCAUGCUCUAAAAACCGUCUCUUAGCCGAAAAGUGUAAAAAAGAAAAAAGAAUGUCAAAUCAUGAGUUAAUAACUCCUGCUAAAACAUCGGGGUUAAUCAUGUUCAUAACCGCGUAAAUAGUUUUUUGGGUGCAACUCGCGUAAAUGGUUUCUAGCAAUAUGACUCACACGCUUCAAUAAGAUAAAAGCUAUAAAUAAAAUGAAUAAAUCACAUAGUUUUCUUGAUUUGGUUGGUUGAUAACAUACUUUGAUACUCUGAAAUCUACGCGUGGUUGUCGAAUCCAGAGUUUGUAAAAUAUUUUAGAUUAGACUCAAGGAGACCGGUUAAUUUAGCACAAGAAUAAACCAGAGUUUAGCACGUAAAAGCUAUGAUUAACAAAAGGAGACUACCGUUUGUCGUUCCUCUCUUCCUCAUCCUCGUUCCUGGAAGCUGUGAGUUUGAUGAAUCUGAGGAUGUUUCUGAAGGAGAGAGGAACACUUAGUCGACGAGAGAUGAAGAGACCAGGGAUGAGAACAAGAGCAAAAAAAGUCAAAACAAUAGAGAACAUAUACACCAUUUUUGUUUUGUCUUUGUUUCAGUAUUUUAGAACCGAAGCACUCGACUACGAACUUAAAGAGGUUCAAGUUCAAAGACGCACAUGAUUAAUGGAACGUUUUCCGGCUCGCUAUCUGUCUCUUCUUGAUGCUACGCAAAGACAGGUCCUACGAAGGUUUAAUACGAUCUUACGACACUUGAAAAUACUAAAUGGUUAGUUGAAAAAAAAAAAAUACUAAAUGGUUUUGCAUGUGAUUUGCUUAUUAAGUUAAGACAUUUUUAUGAGCCCAGAUUUGGACUUGGAUCAAUAUAAUUAUAUAACUUUACAUUACAUCAAUGAAGUCUCGUAAAGUAUUAAAUAAACUGAGGUAUGGUGUUUUAGAAAAAAACACCAAACAGGUAUGAUGGAAACUUCUUACGUUCACUAGCAAAAAGAAAAGGAAAGGGUAUAUGAUGUUAACAUUAAUGUCGAAGCUAGCCGUAUAGAUAUCAUAUAGCUAUUCACAUUUUGUUUGCGUGCAUAUAGUAUCAUUCUUCUAAUAUGAAAGAGCUCCUUUUCAUUGUAGUAGUUGUUGUUGCUUGAUUCAAAGUCAAUCUAGAAUUUAGGAAUAAUAGGGUUUCUGGUUUAACUUAACGUAGUUGUUUCCUAGUUAUUAAGAGUUUAUUAUUUAUCUUUUAUAAUCAUGGGUAAUCUAUUUUUUUAUAAAUUCAGUAUUUUAUAAUUGUAUUUCUUAAGCUUUUUAAUCAACUUAAUAUUUUAGCUUCCUUUCUCUGAAAUCUCCCAACAAUUAUGGUAUCAGAGCAAAGCAAAAUUUCAGGUUUUAAUCCUCGUUAAAAAGAAAGAAAAAAUAAGAAGAAGAAGAAGAAACGAUGGCUAGCAACGGUUCACCGCAUGCCCUUGUUCCGAUUUUCAAAGGUGAAAAGUAUCAUAUAUGGAGUCUCAAGAUGAAGAAUAUGUUCCGAUUGCAAGAAUUAUGGGAUCUGGCCGAAUCUGGUUUUGAAGAUGAUAAUCCAGAAGAACCUGAUCAAUCUCUACGGAAGAGAAGAAAGAAAGAUGCAAAAGCAUUAUUCUUCAUCCAAACGGCAUUGGAUGAUGAUAUACUCUCAAGGAUCUCUGCAGCAAACACAGCUCAUGAAGCGUGGGAGAUUCUGAAGCAUGAUUAUAUGGGAGCACAAAAAGUGAUCCUGGUGAAGUUAAAAACUUUAUGGCAAAAACUUGAAACUCUUUCUAUGGAACAUAAGGAAACUGUUCAAGAGUACUUGGGUAGAGUGUCUACCAUUGUGAAUCAGAUGAAGGCUUAUGGUGAGUUAUCCACCAAUGAGAGCAUCGUGAGCAAGGUGCUGAGGAGUCUGUCAUCACAGUUUGAGUAUGUAGUUCCAGAAAUCAUUGAGUCAAAUGAUCUGAGACAUACACAUGUGAUGAAUUGAUGAGUUCUUUGUUGGCUCAUGAAGAUCGGCUUAGCAAAGCCUAUGAGAAAGCUUUUCAAAUGAAUGAAGAUUCUUCAGAAAAUGGAAGAUCUGAGUAUUAUGGAAACCAAGGCAGAGGUGGAUAUCAUGGUCGAGGCCAUGGUUAUGGAAGAGGAAGGGGUGGAUUCAAUGAACAGAAUCAACACCAAGGUUCAUACGAAUAUCAAGGUUAUCACAACAGUGGAUACGAGGAUCAAAGUCAGUUCAAGAGCAAUAUUCAGUGUAGGUAUUGCAAGAAGUUUGGGCACAAGGAGGCUGAGUGCUGGUCCAAACAAAGUAAUGAGCAAAAAUCAAAUUUUGCUCAAGAUGUUGAAGAAGAGAGUAAGCUAUUCAUGACGCAUUCUACUUGCACAAGUGUGUCUGAUGUGGUAUGGUUUUUGGAUUGUGGUUGUUCCAAUCACAUGGCUGGUUGACAUGGUAUCAGAGCGUAGCCACACCCCGAACCAUUAAUCCGGCCCAGAAAGAGGUCCGAUCAUCCCACUAGCUGAUGGUCCAUAGAAGGUUCAGUUCCGCCGAGAUUGUUAGAAAAAAGAAUUGUCUCAGAGGGGGUAUGAUGGAUUCAGCGAGAUUAAUGGUUAUACGCACCAUUAUUUCGAAGGAGGUUGUUGGAGAGAAGUCCCACAUUCAAAAUAUGUAAGGGACUUGAUAUAUAUGGGACUUGGGCCACUCCACUUACCGCUAAUUGAUUUUAAGUUGGAAGUACAGAAAACUUGACAGAAGCAGAAAUGUUUCUUGAGUGGCAGAUUGCAAUAAAACAGGAGAUGAAAUCUAUGGAGAAGAAUUCUACAUGGGAGUUCUGCAUAAAGAAAAAGCAAGGAGAAGAUGGAAUCUUUGCAUGUCAGAAGAAGUAUGGUGUUGCUUUGGUGAAGAAGUUCAACAUAUAUGGUUGUGAGAAGGCACUCACGACAAAUGAUUAUGGUAUGUGGUUUUCGAACUUGUUCAAUUUCAAGUUUGUUGGUUGGACAGACAGCGACUAGGCAGUAAGUUUGGAUAAUAUGAAAAGCAAUUUGGAAAAUUGCUUUAGUUUUGGUUCUGGUGCUGUUAUUUGGAGUUCAAAGAACCAAGAAACUGUGGCACUAUCAUCAACUGAAGCAGAGUAUGUGGCAGAAGAAGCAACAACAAGGCAAGUUCUAUGUUUAAGGAAGUUACUAGCUAAUUUCUGUGUUGAACAAGUUGAAGCUACAGAGAUAGCGUUUCAUGGCAGUAUCAAGAAGUUUGGAGUGUGCAAAUUUGAAUCAAAGGGGAGUGUUGAUUGAUUCAAAGUCAAUUUAGAAUCUAGGAACAAUGGGGGUUUGUGGUUUAACUUAACGUGGGUUGUUUCCUAGUUAUUAGGAGUUUUUUUUUUUACUAUCAUAGGUAAAGGGUAGUUAUCUAUUUCUUUAUAAAUUCAGUAUUUUGAAAUUGUGUUUUUUAAGCUUUUCAAUCAACAUAAUAUUUUAGCUUCCUUUCUCUGAAA
Molecule: long non-coding RNA, 4869 nt
Organism: Brassica napus (rape)
Lineage: Eukaryota; Viridiplantae; Streptophyta; Magnoliopsida; Brassicales; Brassicaceae
Exons: 4
Source: RefSeq, a predicted model, not a curated record